RNAcentral lists this long non-coding RNA (1133 nucleotides) under Brachypodium distachyon (stiff brome). RNAcentral's name for it is "long non-coding RNA (BDIS_LNC001149)". Lineage: Eukaryota; Viridiplantae; Streptophyta; Magnoliopsida; Poales; Poaceae. The record is from RNAcentral.
CGGCCUGCCUCCCCUCUCCGCCCCCUCCGGCCUCCUUCCUCCCCAGCCGGUGAAUUUUCUUUUUUUCUUUUUUGGAUUUUCUUUGUGGCAUUUUUCCUCUAAUAAAAAAUGAUCUGCAUUUGUACGUGUAUUAGAUAAAAAGCUUUUUAAACGGUCGUCUAGGAAUACAUAUUUGUUGUGAAGUUAAAAUAUUAGAAUAAUAUAGUUGAAAGUGAAAUUCAAUAACCAUGUUGUAGAGCUACUGUUCAAUGGUUUAUUGAUGCUGAAAUAUUUCAUGUGCAUCCCAGUAGCUUCACAAUAUUUAUAUAAUCAGUCUAAUGGGAUUGUUUCUGUUGGUAUGCAACUCAGCUAUUGGAUGUUAAUGGUGAAUCGAAGAUAGUGCUUAUUCCUAUUGUAGUUGCUGUAAGUCCGCUAUUGUGUUGUUUAUCCCAUUUGAAGUUCUGGCUUAUAUUGAUAGAAAAUGCAAACACAUAAAUUCUUUCCUAGUUACACAUCAUCUUUAGUUUCAUGUUUUUCUCAUGUUUGUGUCAGCCAUGUUAAAUUAAUUCAUGUAGUUCGUCUACGCCGAAUUACAUGAAUCUAGUUUUGUACUGUUUUCGUAUUAUCCUAGGCUCAACUCACUUGAAUUUUUCUGCAUUCAAGGAUUAGGGUUUAAGGGUUGGGUUAGGGUUUAGGGUUUAGGGUUUAUAAAAUGUUCAUGCUUAUAAAAUGUAUGCUUAUAAAAUGUAUGCUUCUUUGCGAAUGUGCAUGCAUGUAUGCUUGAAUGCUUAUAAAAUGUUCAUGCUCAUGUAGGUGACAUCGACCUCAACCUUGACUACUUCGUCUACGAUUAGCUUGGUGAGCAUCUCCCUCUAUCUCGCCUUCCCCUUUUUCUCUGUCCCGCCAUCGAGCCAAUGACACUUGUAGUUUAAAUGUCAAAGUUGCGUAACCCUAUGCGUCUCCCGUCCAAAAGGGUUACGUAUAUAGAUAUGCAAGUCUUUGCAUAUCUAUAAGAGUAACUCUUUCGGAUUGUCCACGUUUUUUGGACAGCCCGAGGGUGUAGAUUGGGUUCGUUUCCGUGCUCUAGUCCGGUCCGAGACGUGAUUUCGGCAGCGUCUCCCCGUUGUUCUCCAGAUGCACAUUCUCUUGGCUUU